Non-coding RNA from Symphalangus syndactylus (siamang), 486 nucleotides. The record is from the annotation of a RefSeq genome assembly. NCBI's taxonomy places the organism in Eukaryota, Metazoa, Chordata, Mammalia, Primates, Hylobatidae.
AUGGGCACCAGGCUCCUCGGCUAUGCAGCCCUGUGUCUCCUGGCAGCAGGCUCUUUUCAUGCCAAAGUCACACAGACUCCAGGACAUUUGGUCAAAGGAAAAGGACAGAAAACAAAGAUGAAUUGUACCCCCGAAAAAGGACAUACUUUAUUGUAUCAAAAGAAUCAGAAUAAAGAGUUUAUGCUUUUGAUUUCCUUUCAGAAUGAACAAGUUCUUCAAGAAACGGAGAUGCACAAGAAGCGAUCCUCAUCUCAAUGCCCCAAGAACACACCCUGCAGCCUGGCAAUCCUGUCCUCAGAACUGGGAGACACGGCACUGUAUCUCUGUGCCAGCAGUCAAUCCACAGUACUGAAAUGUCAGUUCCUCUUAGCACACAAACUUGUCACAGACCCAGCUCAGGAAGCAGGUGAUGUAUUAGGCUGGAAGGGAGUGACAGAAAAUAACUGGAGCCAGCUUAAGCCACAGUGGAAUUUAACACAAGGAUAA